AAAAGGUUUGGGUUAUUAUAUAUGGUAUGGUAGAGUGGUCCAUUUCAAUUAUCAUUUCUCAUAUACCCAAAAACUUUGUUUGUAAAGAAAGAACCUGGCCAUGUUUUUCCACAGCUUUCUUGAACUUAAAAUUUCUUUGUUCAUUCACCAACUAACUACAUAAUAUCUCAAUUCUAAACAAAGCUUUGAAGCUCAAGAAAGCUGUGGGAAAUCAUGACACUUCCAGGCUCUUCUCAAUUCCUUCCCUUCCAGGUUCAGAAAGUGGGAAGAGAAAAGGUGAUAUGAGAAUAUGAUAAUUGGUUGCAUUAUAUUAAAGCAAAGCUCCCUCUGCAGCAAUAAAGGGGUCUAAAUUGGAGAGAAUCAUAUUUUUCUUUUUCUUUAGCUAAUUUAUUUAAUUAUUUACUUACAUUUGUUACCAUAUAUGUCCCCAACUUUAUACAUUUAUUUGGAAAUUUUAUUUGAAUUUGGAAGAAGUAAAAAUAAUGGUUUUUAUUUUUUUUUAUCAGUGACUUCGAGUUUAAUUUAAAUAGAAUAAUUAAGUGAAAUUAGUUAUAAUUUUAUUUAAAGUUUAAAGUUUAAUUGAUUUAUAUCUUAGUUGUUUAUUUUAAUCAACACCAAAUUUUUUGAGGUAUAAAUUGACUUUUCUUUC
Molecule: long non-coding RNA, 649 nt
Organism: Cucumis melo (muskmelon)
Lineage: Eukaryota; Viridiplantae; Streptophyta; Magnoliopsida; Cucurbitales; Cucurbitaceae
Exons: 2
Source: RefSeq, a predicted model, not a curated record